UUCUAAAAAAAAAAAAAAAAAAAAAUUGUUUCUGGGAGACACGCGGGGCCCAGAAUACGAUAUAUACCCUAAAUUUUUACCAUCGCACUAUCAAUUAAACAGCGAAUACAUUUAUUAUUAUUACUUUUUUUUUUUUUUGAGUGCUAGAAUAGUUACUACAAAUUAAUCUUUUAUCGUAAUUUUGUAUUAUUUAAGAAAAUAUACCCCACACAUACACAGUCCAGUGGCGGCUCGUAUUGUAAGCAACGAGGCUAAUAUUUAGAAAAUGAUAAGGCGAUAGGGGUUUUAAUAUACGCGGGGAGAUGAAUCUAAUAUAGAUACUAUCAGAAAAAUGGAAACCGAAUCGCUGUCACCGUUAACGUUAUUAUUUAUUGCUUUUAGACUUUAUUUAUCGGAAUAAUUAUUUUGGAAAUUUAAAAAUAUUUAGAACCCGGUCAGUGUACUAUAGUAGUUAUGUAUUGUGUAAUUUUUCUGAAACCUAUCCGAAAUUAAUUUAGAAGACGGCGUUUAUGUAAUAAAUCGAGUAUGUCGUAGGCCGCAUAGAAAAUUAAUCUGUUUGCAAAAAGGCUCUUUGCGACGGGGUAACCCGUUAGCGAACUAUUUAUUAUUUUUCCAAAUGGCCAGUCGUUUUUCGGGUUUAUUACAGACAAAUAACAGUUAGGUCUUUUAAGGACUACAAUUAUUAUAAACCUAGUAAUUUUAUUGUAAUUUAUUACAAGUACAAAAAAAAAAAAGAACAC
Cinara cedri is the source of this 740-nucleotide non-coding RNA. NCBI's taxonomy places the organism in Eukaryota, Metazoa, Arthropoda, Insecta, Hemiptera, Aphididae. The record is from the annotation of a GenBank genome assembly.